RNAcentral lists this ribosomal RNA (443 nucleotides) under Gunungidia aurantiifasciata. Its description in RNAcentral is "partial large subunit ribosomal RNA". The record is from RNAcentral. Lineage: Eukaryota; Metazoa; Arthropoda; Insecta; Hemiptera; Cicadellidae.
UUCUGCCCUAUGAUUAAUUAUUAAUGGCUGCAGUAUUUUGACUGUGCAAAGGUAGCAUAAUAAUUAGUCAUUUAAUUGUUGACUUGUAUGAAUGGAUACAUGAAAGAUUUAUUUUUUUAAAUUUAUUAUUAAAAUUUAAUAUUUAAGUAAAAAAGCUUUAAUUGUUUUUUUGGGACGAUAAGACCCUAUAGAACUUUAUUAUAUUAACAAUAUAUAUUUUUUAGUCUUUGAUGUCUAUUAAUUUUUUUUAUUUUUUUGGUGGGGGGACAAAUAAAUAUUUAACUUUAUUUUUUUUUUUCAUUAAUUUUUGAUUUUUAUUGACCCUAUUUUUAAAUGGAAAAAUUUAGUUACCUUAGGGAUAACAGCGAAAUUUUAAGGGGGAGUUCAUAUUUAUAUUAAAGUUGGCGACCUCGAUGUUAAAUUAAAAAAAGUUUGAGGGGUAA